Molecule: long non-coding RNA, 617 nt
Organism: Cavia porcellus (domestic guinea pig)
Lineage: Eukaryota; Metazoa; Chordata; Mammalia; Rodentia; Caviidae
Exons: 3
Source: RefSeq, a predicted model, not a curated record
AUUGUCACCACCUGCAGGGCAUUCACAUGCUGCCUAUAUUUAAGACCCAGACUUCAUGUUCAGUGACACAGAAAUUGCCACCUUGAGAACUGUACUGGAAAGGCAAAAGUUGAAAAAUAAUUUUCUACAAAUAAUCAGGCUGCAAAUUCUACCUCUCUCAAGAUAAACAGGAAGAGCCAGGGAGUUAACUGAACAAGAGACUCCAGCUCCUGGAUCAGUAUCUCUGGAAGAAUUUGACCCUACUACUCCCAAGGGAAAAAUCUGCUGCAAAAUCAUUCAUGCCAAGAAUAGCUUCACCAUCCACAGUCAAAGAUGCAGGAGCCAAGGGGCGAUGCUUGCUCAAGCUUCAGUGACCAAGCAUGGUGGCACACUAUUGUAAUCCCAGCACUCAGGAGGCUGAGGCAGGAGGAUCACUGCAAGUUUGAAAUCAGCCUGGGCUACACAGUGAGUUCAAGGCCAGCCUGAACUACACAGCAAGACCCUCCCCCCAAAAAAAGUUGAUUUUUUCGAAGCUGACCACCAACUUACAGAGUUUGUGGUCUGAAUUAUGUAAAAUUAAUAUACACACAAAUAAAUAAAUGUUUUAUAAAUAAUAAAACAUUAAAAGUGAUUGAUCU